Molecule: long non-coding RNA, 1938 nt
Organism: Tympanuchus pallidicinctus (lesser prairie-chicken)
Lineage: Eukaryota; Metazoa; Chordata; Aves; Galliformes; Phasianidae
Exons: 2
Source: RefSeq, a predicted model, not a curated record
UACUUCUGUAGGCAGUGUUCUGAGCAAGUUAUCUGGAGGAAGAGGAAAACAGCUUCAGAGAGUGAUGAAGACGCCCUCCUCAGCAGAAUCCCAAGUGAAAUAGUCAGGCCUUCAUGAAAAACAUCUUGGAGCCAGGAGAUGUUAACACUUCAUCCUUGGACUGCUCUUGUGAAGUGGAAGUACACAAAGGAUUUUAUUUUGCAGUAAGUACUAAACCUGAGAAAGGUUGUGUUUGUGAUGUUUCCCUCCUCUCUUUCUGCAUCCUGGUUUGCAAACACUAACUUUUGACAGCCAGAUCUGCUCUACCUGUGUGGUAGCUCAGGUUAAGCUCUUUUUUUGACCUUGUUCCUAUUAGCUCUAGCAGCCUGGUUCACCUUCCCAGGACAGCACCUGAAGUGCUACCAGACAGCUUGCUGGAUAGGGGACAAACACCAGGGCCUGUUCCACAGCUGCUGUCAUGUUUUCAAGGGAGGGCAUUUUAUUUUUUCUUUCAAUAAUUGUAGAGAAAAAGCCACGGGAUCUAUUUCUGAGUUACAGUUCUACCAGUCAGAUAUUCAGUUCCAAACCUUUCAAUCACUGUAGAAGUCAUCACACUUAAAUACAAAAGAUGAGCACCUUGCAUGAGUACCAGAAAACCAGAAAUUGCUUUAAUGCUGCUCAGUAUAAAGGGAUGUGGAAAGCAGAGAUGAUGGAAGAAAAAAAGAUAACCUGCAACUGUACAUCCUCUCCAUUCUACUUUCUCUCUCCCUGACCUGGCAUCAGUUACAGUAAAACCUGUUCAGCAGGAGUUAAGUCUGACUAGGAAACAAAUGCUGUUGGAUUCUAGAAGCACCCCAAGCCACAUCUCCCAGAGGGUGUGGUGUCUGUGAUGCCCUGCCUGGGGAAGCCUAGACUUGUAGUGAAGAGUGCAGUAUGGAAUGAGGGCAGCAGCUGCUUUUACAAAUGCAGAAUCUCCAAGAUCCACAAAGGCAUUUAUCUUCAUUCUUAAGGAAGUACGACUUUAAAUAGGAAAUUAGGAUCAGAGCAGACCAGUCAUCCACUCAGACCAGUAUUCCAUAUCCACGAGGGCCACAGCCAGAUGCUUUGCAAGAAAAGCAUCCUGCGUAGCUCGAGCAGCUAAAAUGAGCUGGUGAAAGACAAUGGCAAAACCUUAUCCAGAGUAAUUCUGACACCUGCAAUCGAGAAUGUUCCCAACAAAGCAAAUGCAGAGAAUUAUCAUGGGAACAAAGGAUCUGUCUUGGGAAGCCAGGAGAGCUUGGUUUAGUGCAGCAAAACAAAAGCUGAACGGAGAGAUGAUUUCUGCCUGCACUGAGGGACAGCUGUAAAACUCUAAGGAGGCAGCAAAUGCUAAAACACAACGCAGGUUUAAAUCUUUGUGUGUGGUUUAGGUGGUUUUUGGGUGUUUUUUUUUCCUGGUAGCAGGAAAGCUGGAGUUAAGCAAAGCUAUUAGACUUUUAACCAAUUAUAUUAAUUACACCAGUCUGAAGCCUCCCAGCAAGCGACGAAAGGCCAAGGACAACAUGCAACUCAUGUGAGCCAGAGCCUUUUCUUUUGGCAGAUGGGUACGUGAUGGAGCUCCCUGCACUGCAGGCAACUGGACUGAGCAGCCAGAGCUGUGGGGGCAAUAGAUUUCCACCAGCACACCUCCCUGCUCACUGCAUGCCAGAACACUUCCACUCCUCCAAAGACAGCUGAUGAGCUUUUCAGCUAACUGAAAGAUCCAAACUGUCCAAAUCGCUGCUGAAAUUUGAGUAUUAAACAGAAAUUCUGCCUAAAGGUAAUUAAAAGCAUAGGAAACAUUUACAUACCUCUUCUGGCUUAACUUCUCUGGUGGUGAAAUCCCUUAUACAAUCCAUGAAGCAAUUUUCUGUGAUUUUAUUAUAUGUUCCCAGGAACUCCUUGAACUGCAUUAAAAAUUGAAAACACCAUUAAAAAAUA